GGAAUUCCUGGCAGGGGAGACACCAUGAUCAGGCAGAUGGUUUUCCUAGGGUGAGGCUCAUCCCCUGCACUCCGAGUGUGCUGACCCCUGAGAUUUCCCCCAAUGCGGGAAACUCAACUGCAUAAUUUGUUAUUCUGUGAUUCCUGUAGGAACAAUCUGA
Molecule: small nuclear RNA, 160 nt
Filed under: Anas platyrhynchos platyrhynchos (common mallard)
Lineage: Eukaryota; Metazoa; Chordata; Aves; Anseriformes; Anatidae
Description: U1 spliceosomal RNA (ENSAPLG00000000050.2)
Rfam family: U1 spliceosomal RNA
About the family: U1 is a small nuclear RNA (snRNA) component of the spliceosome (involved in pre-mRNA splicing). Its 5' end forms complementary base pairs with the 5' splice junction, thus defining the 5' donor site of an intron.
Source: RNAcentral